CACAUACUGACACACACAGAUAUACACACACAUAUAUACUGACACACAGACAGAAAGACAUACUGACACACACACACAGACAUACUGACACACACACAGACAUGCUGACACACACACACAUACACUAACACACACAUACACUAACACACAGAUACACUAACACACACACACACUAACACACAUACACUAACACACACACACUAACACACAUACACUAACACACACAUACACUAACACA
Non-coding RNA from Pelobates cultripes (western spadefoot toad), 238 nucleotides. The record is from the annotation of a GenBank genome assembly. NCBI's taxonomy places the organism in Eukaryota, Metazoa, Chordata, Amphibia, Anura, Pelobatidae.